AAUAGAUACCCCGGUAGUCCACCCCGUAAACGUUGGGAACUAGUUGUGGGGACCAUUCCACGGUUUCCGUGACGCAGCUAACGCAUUAAGUUCCCCGCCUGGGGAGUACGGCCGCAAGGCUAAAACUCAAAGGAAUUGACGGGGACCCGCACAAGCGGCGGAGCAUGCGGAUUAAUUCGAUGCAACGCGAAGAACCUUACCAAGGCUUGACAUAUACGAGAACGGGCCAGAAAUGGUCAACUCUUUGGACACUUGUAAACAGGUGGUGCAUGGUUGUCGUCAGCUCGUGUCGUGAGAUGUUGGGUUAAGUCCCGCAACGAGCGCAACCCUCGUUCUAUGUUGCCAGCACGUAAUGGUGGGAACUCAUGGGAUACUGCCGGGGUCAACUCGGAGGAAGGUGGGGAUGACGUCAAAUCAUCAUGCCCCUUAUGUCUUGGGCUUCACGCAUGCUACAAUGGCCGGUACAAAGGGCUGCAAUACCGUAAGGUGGAGCGAAUCCCAAAAAGCCGGUCCCAGUUCGGAUUGAGGUCUGCAACUCGACCUCAUG
RNAcentral lists this ribosomal RNA (547 nucleotides) under uncultured bacterium. RNAcentral's name for it is "bacterial SSU rRNA". It matches the Rfam family "Bacterial small subunit ribosomal RNA", at positions 777 to 1322 of the family's 1533-position model. The record is from RNAcentral.